GUAUCGGUCAGUUUACCCUGUAGGUAUCGGUCAGUGUACCCUGUAGGUAUCCUCUCAGUUUACCCUGUAGGUAUCGGUCAGUGUACCCUGUAGGUAUCGGUCAGUGUACCCUGUAGGUAUCGGUCAGUGUACCCUGUAGGUAUCGGUCAGUUUACCCUGUAGGUAUCGGUCAGUUUACCCUGUAGGUAUCGGUCAGUUUACCCUGUAGGUAUCGGUCAGUUUACCCUGUAGGUAUCUCUCAGUGUACCCUGUAGGUAUCGGUCAGUGUACCCUGUAGGUAUCCUCUCAGUGUACCCUGUAGGUAUCGGUCAGUGUACCCUGUAGGUAUCCUCUCAGUUUACCCUGUAGGUAUCGGUCAGUGUACCCUGUAGGUAUCGGUCAGUUUACCCUGUAGGUAUCGGUCAGUUUACCCUGUAGGUAUCGGUCAGUUUACCCUGUAGGUAUCGGUCAGUGUACCCUGUAGGUAUCCUCUCAGUGUACCCUGUAGGUAUCGGUCAGUGUACCCUGUAGGUAUCCUCUCAGUUUACCCUAUUUGAAAGCUGAGUUGGAUUAGAGCUACGGCUUUAUGCUACUGGAGUUGAGUUGGAUUAGAGCUACGGCCUUAUGCUACUGGAGUUGAGUUGGAUUAGAGCUACGGCGUUAUGCUACUGGAGUUGAGUUGGAUUAGAGCUACGGCGUUAUGCUACUGGAUUUGAGUUGGAUUAGAGCUACGGCGUUAUGCUACUGGAGUUGCAUUGUACGGGACUUAAUGUGCGUGCAUGGUGUGAAUAUCGGGUUACCAAUCCAAUGCUCUAAACCUGAUAUUUGAAAAUAAGACAUUUUAGAAAUGAAUUGAAAUGAUUAAGUAUAGAGUACGUUGAAGUUUCUACUUUAUCCAUAUUUAUAACAUAUUUUUUAUCUCCUGAAAUUCCACACCAUUGAUUUAAUGUGUCUUACUGUUAAAGGUGUUGAAAGAUAUACAGUACAGACUAACCACAUGUGUUUUCCGUUUUUAGUUCUCUCUCUGAAAUACAACAGAACCUGAUGUCCCACCAUUCAUGUGACAUGUAUGGUAGGUUACUGUAAAUGUGACAUGUCUGGUAGGUUACUGUAAAUGGCAGGGUUCAAACCGUGUAUUACAAUACCCACAGCUCUUACAUUCUGAAGCACAACUCUAGUUUCAGAACGCUGGUUGUAAAUAUUGUCUCGUGUUACUGUACAUUUGAAUUAGGCUGACUUGAUCGUCUUUCCAUUGGUUUAAUGUCAAUUUAAAACUGUCAUUUUGAAUUGUAUGACUGCAAGGUAUGUUUAGAUUUGUUUUGUGUACGUAAGAUCAUUAACACAUAUUGUCGUGCAGCACGAUAUACACUUGGAGAAUUUGUACAUUACAGGGCUAUUUUAACGGCAAUGGUUGAAAAAAUAUGACGUUGCUCAGAAUAUCACUCUAAUCUUGGGUUUUAUGCGGUUGAUUUAUUAAAAUAAAUGAUAUUCUGUUGCUGUAAAGGAACUGAUCUGCUGUUGAAUAUCUUCUGAUAAUGGUGGUUAACAAAAAACUACAACAAACUUUUGGUCAAUUCAGGUUUUUCUUCUACUUUGUUCAUUUUUUAAUGUGUACAUUUAUUAUUAUUAUUAUUAUAUUUUUUUUUUGCGUUUGGUUUUGAUAUUACAUACAGACAGGAAAUCCAAGUUUGCUCACUUACAUGAGUGGUCAAAAGUAGUGCACUACAUAGGGAAUAGGAUGCCAUUUUGAACUAAAUUAGAGUAGAUUAAUACGUUGUGUGUGUGUGUGGCAGGGAACAUAGUCCCUGUGGUGCAGGGUAGGCAACCCUGUUCCUGAAGGGCUUCAGGUACAGCAGGAUCUGGUUCCAACUACGCGCCACAUCUGACCAACUGAGCUAAUUGAUCAGUUCAGUGAUUGCCUAAAUUCAUCACACCUGGUCUUCUAGGUUGUUUAAGUCCAAACAUGAGGUGCUUGUGGGAGGGUUGCCUUACCCUACUGUGGUGCUAUGAUAAAGGCCCUAUUCAGGAAGUGUCUCAUAAAUGGCUAAUACAGUCUUGUGACCGCUGACCUGGAUUCGAAUCCUAGUCGGUGUCACCUUUCACACAGCACCAGGACCUGUAGUCUUAAAGCAUCUCACAGUAGGAGUGCUGAUCUAGAAUCAGUGUAUGCUUUUACAUCAUAAUAAUUACAGUAUAUGGACAGGAUCGAUCUGCUCCUAGAUCAGCACUUAUAUUCUAAGACGCUUUGUGAAUAUGGGCCCAGAGUUAAAUUAAUAGAUUCUUGGAUGUGGUAUUUCUGUAAAAAAAAAAAAAAUCUGUAUUUGGGAAUAUUUUUGUACAAAUCUGAAUCGGUAAUGUACACAUUUUCAGUGUCAUUAAAGCGUGUUCAAUUGUCUAUUUUAACUGUGCACUGUCUGUGUAAUGGUUUUCUUCCGUUGAAAGAGAGGACCAAAGCGCAGCGUGGUAAGUGU
Long non-coding RNA from Oncorhynchus tshawytscha (Chinook salmon), 2450 nucleotides. The record is from Ensembl. NCBI's taxonomy places the organism in Eukaryota, Metazoa, Chordata, Actinopteri, Salmoniformes, Salmonidae.